Molecule: ribosomal RNA, 788 nt
Filed under: uncultured bacterium
Lineage: Bacteria
Description: bacterial SSU rRNA
Rfam family: Bacterial small subunit ribosomal RNA
Source: RNAcentral
GAUGAACUCUAGCGACAGGCUUAACACAUGCAAGUCGAGGGGCAGCGAGGGAGUGGCAACACUUCUGUCGGCGACCGGCGCACGGGUGAGUAACGCGUAUGCAACCUGCCCUUCACAGGGGGAUAACCGGGAGAAAUUCCGACUAAUACCGCAUACGUCCUCCGGGGGCAUCCCCGGGGGAUGAAAGAAUUAUCGGUGAAGGAUGGGCAUGCGUGAUAUUAGGUAGUUGGCGGGGCAACGGCCCACCAAGCCCACGAUAUCUAGGGGUUCUGAGAGGAAGGUCCCCCACAUUGGUACUGAGACACGGACCAAACUCCUACGGGAGGCAGCAGUGAGGAAUAUUGGUCAAUGGACGAGAGUCUGAACCAGCCAAGUCGCGUGAAGGAAGACGGAUCUAUGGUUUGUAAACUUCUUUAGUGCGGGAACAAAGCGGUGUCGUGACGCCGGAUGAGUGUACCGCAAGAAUAAGCAUCGGCUAACUCCGUGCCAGCAGCCGCGGUAAUACGGAGGAUGCGAGCGUUAUCCGGAUUUAUUGGGUUCAAAGGGAGCGCAGGCUGCGGGGCAAGUCAGCGGUCAAAUGUCGGGGCUCAACCCCGGCCUGCCGUUGAAACUGUCCUGCUAGAGUUCGAGUGAGGUAUGCGGAAUGCGUUGUGUAGCGGUGAAAUGCAUAGAUAUGACGCAGAACUCCGAUUGCGAAGGCAGCAUGCCAACUCGCGACUGACGCUGAGGCUCGAAAGCGUGGGUAUCGAACAGGAUUAGAUACCCUGGUAGUCCACGCAGUAAACGAU